RNAcentral lists this ribosomal RNA (399 nucleotides) under Echeneis naucrates (live sharksucker). RNAcentral's name for it is "partial 16S ribosomal RNA". It matches the Rfam family "Bacterial large subunit ribosomal RNA", at positions 1963 to 2496 of the family's 2925-position model. Lineage: Eukaryota; Metazoa; Chordata; Actinopteri; Carangiformes; Echeneidae. The record is from RNAcentral.
AAUCACUUGUCUNNUAAAUGAAGACCUGUANGAAUGGUAUGACGAGGGCUUAACUGUCUCCUCACUCUAGUCANUGAAAUUGAUCUUCCCGUGCAGAAGCGGGAAUAANUACAUAAGACGAGAAGACCCUAUGGAGCUUUAGANACUAGAAUAGACCAUGUUAAUAAACUCUAAAUUAAAGAAUUGAACCUAAUGGAAUACUAUUUUUAUAUCUUCGGUUGGGGCGACCAUGGGGAAAUAUAAAACCCCCACGUGGAAUAAGAGAACUAACCCAUAAUCAACCCUCUUAAAAACAUAGAGCCACACCUCCAANUAACAGAAUUNCUGACCAAAAAUGAUCCGGCAAUGCCGAUCAACGGACCAAGUUACCCUAGGGAUAACAGCGCAAUCCCCUUUUAG